This 429-nucleotide ribosomal RNA is filed under the name uncultured archaeon. RNAcentral describes it as "bacterial SSU rRNA". It matches the Rfam family "Archaeal small subunit ribosomal RNA", at positions 474 to 903 of the family's 1478-position model. The record is from RNAcentral.
UACCUGCAGCUCAAGUGGUGAUCGUUAUUAUUGGGCCUAAAACGUCCGUAGCCGGUCUUAUAAAUGCCUGGGUAAAUCGUGUAGCUCAACUAUACGAAUUCCGGGUAGACUGUAAGACUUGGGACCGGGAGAGGCUAGAGGUACUCCUGGGGUAGAGGUGAAAUUCUGUAAUCCUGGGGGGACCACCAGUGGCGAAGGCGUCUAGCUAGAACGGGUCUGACGGUGAGGGACGAAGCCCUGGGGCGCAAACCGGAUUAGAUACCCGGGUAGUCCAGGGCGCAAACGCUGCUUGCUUGAUGUUAGCUGGGCUCCGAGCUCAGCUAGUGUCGGAGAGAAGUUGUUAAGCAAGCUGCCUGGGAAGUACGAUCGCAAGAUUGAAACUUAAAGGAAUUGGCGGGGGAGCACAGCAACGGGUGGAGCGUGCGGUUU